AGCGAACGCUGGCGGCAGGCUAAACACAUGCAAGUCGAGCGCCCCGCAAGGGGAGCGGCAGACGGGAGAGUAACACGUGGGAACAUACCUUUUGGUUCGGAACAACUGAGGGAAACUUCAGCUAAUACCGGAUAAGCCCUUACGGGGAAAGAUUUAUCGCCGAAAGAUUGGCCCGCGUCUGAUUAGCUAGUUGGUGAGGUAACGGCUCACCAAGGCGACGAUCAGUAGCUGGUCUGAGAGGAGGAUCAGCCUCACUGGGACUGAGACACGGCCCAGACUCCUCCGGGGGGCGGCAGUGGGGAAUAUUGGAAAAUGGGGGCAACCCUGAUCCCGCCGUGCCGGGUGAGUGAUGAAGGCCUUAGGGUUUUAAAGCUCUUUUGCCCGGGAAGAUAAUGCCGGUACCGGGGGAAUAAGCCCCGGCUAACUUCGU
This 430-nucleotide ribosomal RNA is filed under the name uncultured bacterium. RNAcentral describes it as "partial 16S ribosomal RNA". It matches the Rfam family "Bacterial small subunit ribosomal RNA", at positions 29 to 506 of the family's 1533-position model. The record is from RNAcentral.